CGGCAAGUCCUACACGACCAGCUCCUGCAGACUCCCCCAGGGUGGGAACGCAGCAAGGGUACGCGGUUGAGCGGUGCGAUGUAGGUCGCUUGCCAUUU
Molecule: signal recognition particle RNA, 98 nt
Filed under: Flavobacterium succinicans
Lineage: Bacteria; Pseudomonadati; Bacteroidota; Flavobacteriia; Flavobacteriales; Flavobacteriaceae
Also listed under: 1 other name
Description: Bacterial small signal recognition particle RNA
Rfam family: Bacteroidales small SRP
About the family: The non-coding component of the signal recognition particle in Bacteroides
Source: RNAcentral